CAUGUAGGCGGUCUGUCAAGUCUGAUGUGAAAGCCCGGGGCUCAACCCCGGAAGUGCAUUGGAAACUGGCAGACUUGAGUACGGGAGAGGAAAGUGGAAUUUCGAGUGUAGGGGUGAAAUCCGUAGAUAUUCGAAGGAACACCAGUGGCGAAGGCGGCUUUCUGGACCGAUACUGACGCUGAGAUGCGAAAGCGUGGGGAGCGAACAGGAUUAGAUACCCUGGUAGUCC
RNAcentral lists this ribosomal RNA (229 nucleotides) under uncultured bacterium. Its description in RNAcentral is "partial 16S ribosomal RNA". It matches the Rfam family "Bacterial small subunit ribosomal RNA", at positions 568 to 796 of the family's 1533-position model. The record is from RNAcentral.